Molecule: RNase P RNA, 356 nt
Filed under: Paludibacter sp.
Lineage: Bacteria; Pseudomonadati; Bacteroidota; Bacteroidia; Bacteroidales; Paludibacteraceae
Also listed under: 1 other name
Description: RNase P RNA component class A
Rfam family: Bacterial RNase P class A
About the family: Ribonuclease P (RNase P) is a ubiquitous endoribonuclease, found in archaea, bacteria and eukarya as well as chloroplasts and mitochondria. Its best characterised activity is the generation of mature 5'-ends of tRNAs by cleaving the 5'-leader elements of precursor-tRNAs.
Source: RNAcentral
UCAGUACUCCGGUUUGUCGCUUUACCUUGUGUGAAGAGGAAAGUCCGGGCAACACAGAGCGCCAUACUUCCUAACGGGAAGCUAUCCGCGAGGGUAGGGUAAUGUAACAGAAAAUUACCGCUUCAGCUCGCUGAAGUAAGGGUGAAAAGGUGAGGUAAGAGCUUACCGGUACUUAUGGCAACAUGGGUAGCCGUACAUCCUAUGGGUUGCAAGAUCAUGUACACCGGCGCAAUCAGGGCUGCUCGUCCGAUGUCGGGGGGUAGAUUGCACGAGGCAGUUGGUGACAACUGUCCCAGAUAAAUGACAAACACCUUGCUUGCAAGGCACAGAACCCGGCUUACAGGAGUGCUGAUUUU